GAUGAAGAACGUAGCGAAAUGCGAUACUUGGUGUGAAUUGCAGAAUCCCGUGAACCAUCGAGUCUUUGAACGCAAGUUGCGCCCGAAGCCACUAGGCCGAGGGCACGCCUGCCUGGGCGUCACACGCCGUUGCCCCCCCAUCUACUCCUUCGGGAUUGCGGGGGGGCGGAUGAUGGCCUCCUGUGCGCCUAGCCGCGCGGUUGGCAUAAAUACCAAGUCCUCGGCGACGCACGCCACGACAAUCGGUGGUUGCGAAACCUCGGUUGCCCGUCGUGUGCGUUCGUCGCGCAUCGAGGGCUCGAAAAAAUGCUCGGCUCCGGCUGGGCUUUCAACGCGACCCCAGGUCAGGCGCGGUUACCCGCUGAAUUUAAGCAUAUCAAUAAGCGGAGGA
This 391-nucleotide unclassified non-coding RNA is filed under the name soil metagenome. RNAcentral describes it as "partial contains 5.8S ribosomal RNA, internal transcribed spacer 2, and large subunit ribosomal RNA". The stretch from base 1 to 122 matches the Rfam family "5.8S ribosomal RNA", at positions 35 to 154 of the family's 154-position model. The record is from RNAcentral.